Molecule: long non-coding RNA, 1181 nt
Filed under: Homo sapiens (human)
Lineage: Eukaryota; Metazoa; Chordata; Mammalia; Primates; Hominidae
Description: non-protein coding CCDC144NL-AS1:37
Source: RNAcentral
AAGUUCCUGUAUUUUUAUGUGGAGUUGCUCACUGCCCAACGUAGAGGACUAGGAAUCAGGAGUCGGUGGCCGUAUGCUGGAGGCUGGAGCCGCGGGAGCGCGGCUCGCCUCGCUGCGGUUGUUGGCAGUGACGGAGAGAGAGCAGCGCGGCUGGAGCAGGACAUUGUAUUAGUUUCCUGCAAUAAAAUAUUUUUACAAUGUCAGUUUGUCGAAACUGCUGGACUGUAAACUAUUUCUAAUCGAAACCUGAAAUUGUGUCACAACAUGGCUGUAUUACGAUUCCAUGUCAGAGGAAGGAUAUAUACGUGCAUCUGGUAGUGGCUUCCAGUUGUUGCUGUCAGAUGUUUGUUUGGGAAUGCAUUCAGAAGAGCUUAUCAAGGACUUGAGUACAAAACAAGCAUUUCCACAAAAAAGCAGUGACACAAAUCACUAUGUAAUAUAGUUAGCCUUUGAACAACACGGAUUUGAACUGCAGGGGUCUACUUAUGAGCAGAUUUUCUCCCACCUCUACCACCUGAGACAGCGAAGACCAAUCUUCCUCUUCCUCCUUCUCCUUAGCCUGCUCAACUUGAAGACUAUGAUGAAGAGUUAUAUAAUGAUCUACUUGCAUUUAAUGAACACAAAAACAACAGACCUUCAUUCAGCUUAGGAACAUAAUAAAUAGGACGAAGUUGAAUAAACGAAAUGGAGGGGAGUGAAGUAUUCCAGAUGGAAGAGGCAGUACGUGGCCAAGAGGAAACAGACCAUGUGCGCUGGAGAAAAAGGAUGGCCAGACUUGCAGAAACCUGGAAUUGGUGAUUGGCUUUAGAAGUGGAGAGACAAAAAAGGAGGCAUAGAAAGUGCCAACAUUUGGCUACACAGGGAAGAAAGACGUAAAAUAAUAAAAACAUUGGCAUCACCUGUAGACUCAAAUCCUGUGAGUGAAGGACCUGAGCAAUGAAGGAUGGAUUGAACUCGUGAUUAGCCUUCUUCAGCAUAUGUAAAAUGAUGUCUGCUUUUCUUCUCUAUUUGUCAUUUUACCGACUUUUUAUAUAUAGUAGUUUCCCCAUAUCCAUGGAGGAUGUAUCCCAAGACCCCCAGAGGAUGCUUGAAACCACAGAUAAUAACAAACUCUAUGUAUCCUAUGAUUUUUCCUGUACAUCCUUACCUAUCAUAAAAAAUUGAAGUUGAAGUAUAAGGAG